UACGGGGGGGGCAAGCGUUGUUCGGAAUCACUGGGCUUAAAGGGCGCGUAGGCGGGUUUGCAAGUCUGCGGUGAAAGCCUCCAGCUUAACUGGAGAAGUGCCGUGGAUACUGCGGAUCUCGAGGAGGGUAGGGGCAUCUGGAACGGUCGGUGGAGCGGUGAAAUGCGUUGAUAUCGACCGGAACUCCGGUGGCGAAGGCGAGGUGCUGGACCCUUUCUGACGCUGAGGCGCGAAAGCCAGGGGAGCGAACGGG
This 253-nucleotide ribosomal RNA is filed under the name uncultured bacterium. Its description in RNAcentral is "partial 16S ribosomal RNA". It matches the Rfam family "Bacterial small subunit ribosomal RNA", at positions 524 to 776 of the family's 1533-position model. The record is from RNAcentral.